CUGUGUGUUGUUGGGUAGGGGAGCGUUCUGUAAGCCUGUGAAGGUGUGUCGUGAGGCAUGCUGGAGGUAUCAGAAGUGCGAAUGCUGACAUAAGUAACGAUAAAGCGGGUGAAAAGCCCGCUCGCCGGAAGACCAAGGGUUCCUGUCCAACGUUAAUCGGGGCAGGGUGAGUCGACCCCUAAGGCGAGGCCGAAAGGCGUAGUCGAUGGGAAACGGGUUAAUAUUCCCGUACUUGGUGUUACUGCGAAGGGGGGACGGAGAAGGCUAUGUUGGCCGGGCGACGGUUGUCCCGGUUUAAGCGUGUAGGCUGGUUUUCCAGGCAAAUCCGGAAAAUCAAGGCUGAGGCGUGAUGACGAGGCACUACGGUGCUGAAGCAACAAAUGCCCUGCUUCCAGGAAAAGCCUCUAAGCAUCAGGUAACAUCAAAUCGUACCCCAAACCGACACAGGUGGUCAGGUAGAGAAUACCAAGGCGCUUGAGAGAACUCGGGUGAAGGAACUAGGCAAAAUGGUGCCGUAACUUCGGGAGAAGGCACGCUGACACGUAGGUGAAGUGAUUUACUCAUGGAGCUGAAGUCAGUCGAAGAUACCAGCUGGCUGCAACUGUUUAUUAAAAACACAGCACUGUGCAAACACGAAAGUGGACGUAUACGGUGUGACGCCUGCCCGGUGCCGGAAGGUUAAUUGAUGGGGUCAGCGCAAGCGAAGCUCCUGAUCGAAGCCCCGGUAAACGGCGGCCGUAACUAUAACGGUCCUAAGGUAGCGAAAUUCCUUGUCGGGUAAGUUCCGACCUGCACGAAUGGCGUAAUGAUGGCCAGGCUGUCUCCACCCGAGACUCAGUGAAAUUGAACUCGCUGUGAAGAUGCAGUGUACCCGCGGCAAGACGGAAAGACCCCGUGAACCUUUACUAUAGCUUGACACUGAACAUUGAGCCUUGAUGUGUAGGAUAGGUGGGAGGCUUUGAAGUGUGGACGCCAGUCUGCAUGGAGCCGACCUUGAAAUACCACCCUUUAAUGUUUGAUGUUCUAACGUGGACCCGUUACCCGGGUUGCGGACAGUGUCUGGUGGGUAGUUUGACUGGGGCGGUCUCCUCCUAAAGAGUAACGGAGGAGCACGAAGGUUGGCUAAUCCUGGUCGGACAUCAGGAGGUUAGUGCAAUGGCAUAAGCCAGCUUGACUGCGAGCGUGACGGCGCGAGCAGGUGCGAAAGCAGGUCAUAGUGAUCCGGUGGUUCUGAAUGGAAGGGCCAUCGCUCAACGGAUAAAAGGUACUCCGGGGAUAACAGGCUGAUACCGCCCAAGAGUUCAUAUCGACGGCGGUGUUUGGCACCUCGAUGUCGGCUCAUCACAUCCUGGGGCUGAAGUAGGUCCCAAGGGUAUGGCUGUUCGCCAUUUAAAGUGGUACGCGAGCUGGGUUUAGAACGUCGUGAGACAGUUCGGUCCCUAUCUGCCGUGGGCGCUGGAGAACUGAGGGGGGCUGCUCCUAGUACGAGAGGACCGGAGUGGACGCAUCACUGGUGUUCGGGUUGUCAUGCCAAUGGCACUGCCCGGUAGCUAAAUGCGGAAGAGAUAAGUGCUGAAAGCAUCUAAGCACGAAACUUGCCCCGAGAUGAGUUCUCCCUGAGACUUAGAGUCUCCUGAAGGAACGUUGAAGACGACGACGUUGAUAGGCCGGGUGUGUAAGCGCAGCGAUGCGUUGAGCUAACCGGUACUAAUGAACCGUGAGGCUUAACCUUACAACGCCG
This 1741-nucleotide ribosomal RNA is filed under the name Salmonella enterica subsp. enterica serovar Enteritidis. RNAcentral's name for it is "partial 23S ribosomal RNA". It matches the Rfam family "Bacterial large subunit ribosomal RNA", at positions 1214 to 2925 of the family's 2925-position model. Lineage: Bacteria; Pseudomonadati; Pseudomonadota; Gammaproteobacteria; Enterobacterales; Enterobacteriaceae. The record is from RNAcentral.